CACAGCCAAUAUCAUACUGAAUGGGCAAAAACUGGAAGCAUUCCCUUUGAAAACUGGCACAAGACAGGGAUGCCCUGUCUCACCACUCCUAUUCAACACAGUGUUGGAAGUUCUGGCCAGGGCAAUUAGGCAGGAGAAGGAAAUAAAGAUUAUUCAAUUAGGAAAAGAGGAAGUCAAAUUGUCCCUGUUUGCAGACGACAUGAUUGUAUAUCUAGAAAACCCCACUGUCUCAGCCCCAAAUCUCCUUAAGCUGAUAAGCAACUUCAGCAAAGUCUCAGGACACAAAAUCAAUGUACAAAAAUCACAAGCAUUCUUAUACACCAAUAACAAACAGAGAGCCAAAUCAUGAGUGAACUCCCAUUCACAAUUGCUUCAAAGAGAAUAAAAUACUUAGGAAUCCAACUUACAAGGGAUGUGAAGGACCUCUUCAAGGAGAACUACAAACCACUGCUCAAUGAAAUAAAAGAGGAUACAAACAAAUGGAAGAACACUCCAUGCUCAUGGGUAGGAAGAAUCAAUAUAGUGAAAAUGGCCAUACUGCCCAAGGUAAUUUAUAGAUUCAAUGCCAUCCCCAUCAAGCUACCAAUGACUUCCUUCACAGAAUUGGAAAAAACUACUUUAAAGUUCAUAUGGAACCAAAAAAGAGCCCGCAUCACCAAGUCAAUCCUAAGCCAAAAGAACAAAGCUGGAGGCAUCACGCUACCUGACUUCAAACUAUACUACAAGGCUACAGUAACCAAAACAGCAUGGUACUGGUACCAAAAUAGAGAUAGAUAUAGAUCAAUGGAACAGAACAGAGCCCUCAGAAAUAAUGCCGCAUAUCUACAACUAUCUAUCUGAUCUUUGACAAACCUCAGAAAAACAAGCAAUGGGGAAAGGAUUCCCUAUUUAAUAAAUGGUGCUGGGAAAACUGGCUAGCCAUAUGUAGAAAGCUGAAACUGGAUCCCUUCCUUACACCUUAUACAAAAAUCAAUUCAAGAUGGAUUAAAGACUUAAAUGUUAGACCUAAAACCAUAAAAACCCUAGAAGAAAACCUAGGCAUUACCAUUCAGGACAUAGGCAUGGGCAAGGACUUCAUGUCUAAAACACCAAAAGCAAUGGCUACAAAAGCCAAAAUUGACAAAUGGGAUCUAAUUAAACUAAAGAGCUUCUGCACAGCAAAAGAAACUACCAUCAGAGUGAACAGGCAACCUACAAAAUGGGAGAAAAUUUUCGCAAGCUACUCAUCUGACAAAGGGCUAAUAUCCAGAAUCUACAAUGAACUCCAACAAAUUUACAAGAAAAAAACAAACAACCCCAUCAAAAAGUGGGCGAAGGACAUGAACAGACACUUCUCAAAAGAAGACAUUUAUGCAGCCAAAAAACACAUGAAAAAAUGCUCACCAUCACUGGCCAUCAGAGAAAUGCAAAUCAAAACCACAAUGAGAUAUCAUCUCACCCCAGUUAGAAUGGCAAUCAUUAAAAAGUCAGGAAACAACAGGUGCUGCAGAGGAUGUGGAGAAAUAGGAACACUUUUACACUGUUGGGGGGACUGUAAACUAGUUCAACCAUUGUGGAAGUCAGUGUGGCGAUUCCUCAGGGAUCUAGAACUAGAAAUACCAUUUGACCCAGCCAUCCCAUUACUGGGUAUAUACCCAAAGGACUAUAAAUCAUGCUGCUAUAAAGACACAUGCACACGUAUGUUUAUUGCAGCACUAUUCACAAUAGGAAAGACUUGGAACCAACCCAAAUGUCCAACAAUGAUAGACUGGAUUAAGAAAAUGUGGCACAUAUACACCAUGGAAUACUAUGUAGCCAUAAAAAAGGAUGAGUUCAUGUCCUUUGUAGGGACAUGGAUGAAAUUGGAAAUCAUCAUUCUCAGUAAACUAUCGCAAGAACAAAAACCAAACACCGCAUAUUCUCACUCAUAGGUGGGAAUUGAACAAUGAGAACACAUGGACACAGGAAGGGGAACAUCACACUCUGGGGACUGUUGUGGGGUGGGGGGAGCGGGGAAGGAUAGCAUUGGGAGAUAUACCCAAUGCUAGAUGACGAGUUAGUGGGUGCCGCGCACCAGCAUGUCACAUGUAUACAUAUGUAACUAACCUGCACAUUGUGCACAUGUAUCCUAAAACUUAAAGUAUAAAAAAAAAAAGUAACAUCAUUUUCUCAAAUUAAAUAUUUAAAAAGAAAAAAGAUAAAAUGAAACCACAACACUGAAGGAAAAAGGUCUGUUCCUGGUUUCUUGUCAGUAGACAUUUUUUUCUCCCAUAAAUUCCCAUCACCUCUAAAGCUGGGCUACACAGCACUGAGCACUUACUAUUGACAAUAGCUGUGGGCAAAAUAGAAGCCAUGGCAGCUUGCUGAGGAAGCAGCUGAAUUGAGUCCAGCAGGCGUGCAGGGUACAUCCCUUCUGUGAGAGUCAUCUGACUGGCAGCUUGUAGCCUUGAGUCAAAAUCCACCACAAAGGCAAUUAGCUCUUCACCCUCAGAGAUGGCCUUCGUAGUUGUACACCAAAGCUGACCCCCUAUUAAGAAGAAAAAAGAAAAAGAUAAAAUUGACAUAGGAUGCUUGAGUCUGUUGUAAACUAGAUUGAUGUCCAUAGCACCUUCUCAUGUUUUUCACACUGGUUUCUACUGGAGUGGAGUGUUUGAUCAAGGCAACAGCUGUGUUCCUCUUGCUUCCUGUGUGGAAAAUUGUACUCCUUGCAUUAAAUGAACGAUUUAGUGACCAGAAGUAGGAGGAGACUAAGAAUCAAGUACAGUAUAAACAUAAUUUGUAGAGAUUUUUGUCAAUUGUUUGCUUUCUGGGGCUUGCCUGAAUCAGUAACCUUACCAGUAGAUUGAGACAGUACCUAAAAACCAGCAUAGUAGAGACCCAACUGCUGAAAUUUAUUUCAUAUGAGCAUUUGGAGUUAUUCUUUCUAUAUUUUAUGAAAGUAAAAAGUUAUUUAUCUCUCUCCUUCUUUUCCCCCCAUGAAAUACUUCCAUCCUAUCAAUACCAAUGCCCAAACUACAGAACAAGUAAACAAAAACUCCUAAAAUCUAGAAAAUUAAAAUGAAAUUCAGGUAGUUGUACUCUGCUAUGUCUGCUACCAUUUUCUGGCUGAAUAAUCUUUACUUAUAUAAUAUUCCGUAUAAUGUAGCUUCUUCAUCUCCAUUUACCCUGAUUGAACUUCCUGAAAUGAAGAUAUGCCAAAAAUCCUUUUCAAAAAGGCUCAUUUAAAUAAAGAUUUGUUUAGAUGAAAAGAAAUGUCUCUUCAAACACUGAGAUAUACUCUGGCACUGCAUGUCAACGAUCACAUGUUGUGCAUUAAAAAGAAAAAUUAACUAUGCAAGUACAUCUAAUGUAUUGGAAUGUGAUAGCGAAUGCUCGUUUAUUUAACAUGUUUAGACAGGCAAAGCACUUAUAUUUUGUUAUCUACACUCUCAGGCCUAGAUAUGUAUCCUAUACAGUUAUGCCUGAAAUAAUGCAGCAUACUUGAUAUGUUAUAAAGCUCUUUUUUUUUUCAUUGUGUAUAGAUUGGAAGGCUGUGUAUUGCACUCAUUAAGCAGCCAAAACUUGUACCCACUUUGAUAAGUCAUAUUGCUCUGUUUAUCUUUCAACAUAACUGUCUUUUCAACUGCACUUCAUUUUUUCCACCCUUAGAGCUCAUGGUUUUUAAACAACUUGUGGUAAAAAUCUGGUGGAAAAGAUAACAACAGUAUAUGAUAUGGCAGAGUUGCACAGAAGAAUCAGAACAUUGUUUUAGAGAAACGUUGGGCAAUUAAUUAAGCCAGCUGAUUAAGUUUUAAAGAAGCUAAACCAUAUCAUGUCGAAAUCAGAGGAGCGAUGAAAGUGUGAGUGGUGGUAUUUCUGCUGUUCUCCCCCCUGAAGGCUUCUGCGAUUAGCUUCUAUGCCUUCCUUCCCUUAUGGGCAUUCAGAUCCAAACUACUUGCAACUGUAGACAAGGAGGAAGAUGGAACUUGGAGAAGACAUACAGGCUGAAGAAAAAAAAAUAUUUUGGAAGUGAUCAGCACAUUCUAAUUGACCAUGGAUGCUCUCUGCAUUCAUGUGGUAACCCAGGGAGAGUAUGGAGUGAAAAGAGGAUCACCAAAGAAACUUGGGGUAUCUCAACAUUUAGGAAGUGUGCAGAGAAGAUGAGAUCAUUAAAAUGUACCAAGAGGUUAUAUUUAAAUGUUAGAGGGAAAUCAAAAGAAUGGCACCACAAAAAUCAAGGGUUGGACUUCUUUAUAAUUGUUUGGCUGAGUUUUUAGAUGGUGAACUUAGAACGUACAACUUGAGGGAGUCAUUUAUAGGAAGUGAUAACCCAAAUAUUGUAACGUAACUUCAAUUACUGAUGCUAAUAAAAUUUUCAGAGUGUGAUCACUCUUGGC
This 4355-nucleotide long non-coding RNA is filed under the name Homo sapiens (human). RNAcentral describes it as "non-protein coding ZFPM2-AS1:15". Lineage: Eukaryota; Metazoa; Chordata; Mammalia; Primates; Hominidae. The record is from RNAcentral.